Molecule: ribosomal RNA, 328 nt
Filed under: uncultured Neocallimastigales
Lineage: Eukaryota; Fungi; Neocallimastigomycota; Neocallimastigomycetes; Neocallimastigales
Description: partial large subunit ribosomal RNA
Source: RNAcentral
GUUGUUUAGUUGAAAAUCAAUUAAAUAAUUUUUGAUUUUAAGUAGUAUUGACUUCAUCAGCUUGCUGCUUUCUUUUCGGAAAUUAUUUAAUGCACUUUUCAGUUAACAAGUCAACAUCAAUUUCUUUUGUUGUAAAAGGGUAAGAGGAAGGUGGCUUACAUUUCGGUGUAAGUGUUUAUAGCCUUUUACCUCUGCAAUCGGAGAGAUUGAGGUCAGCAGCGUAGACUCUUCGGGGUUAGAUACGCUUGUGCUAAGCUAUAGCCUUGUAUAGACAACUUGUUGACUAUACUCAGUCAUGUAGCUUACUCGCUUGCAGUAUUUUACCUAC